UUUAGAAACACUGCUCUGGACCCGUGGAUUGCAUCCCGAGAAGGCGAGCGACGCGUGCGACCUAUCUUUCUCCCUCUCGCGACAGCGGUGGCGCCGGCGGCGAUUCGAACGGACGGGACGUUGGCGGAGACUCGGUCGUGGCCGGCUGGAGGAGAGGAGCUCCUCUAAGAUGAUGCCGCCCUUCCUCGACGCUGACGCCGACGGUGGCCGGCUGGAGGAGAGGAGGCCGACCGAAGACCUCCGAGGAAGCUCCAGAUCUCCUGCAUCUCCGCCUUCCCCGACUCCGACGCCGGCUGUCACCUGGAGCACCACAUUGCCCUUACCUAUUCGAUUCUGGGCUGACUAUUCCCUGCAACUUCAAGUCACUUGAUCACUAGCUGAAGGUAUAUGAUGGAGCACUAGAGUUCUACAUGAAGAAGCUCUAGAAGAUGGGCAUGGGUGAAGAUGGGCAUGUGUUUAAUCACAAUCUUGUGAAUAAAAGAUGUCCAGCUUGCUAUCAUUGGUGCAUAGUUUACUACAAUUUCACCUGUCUGUCCAUUUUCUUGUGAAUAAAAGUUGUUGUUGAGUAUCCUUUAACAUGACUCCAUGAAUUAGGUUGAGUAUCCUUUAAUAUUGCUUGCUAUUGACUGCUUAUCUUUACCAUAGAAAAAUAUCUUGAUAUGCUUUGCUUUUCUUUUUCUAACGAGUUGUAUCCCUGUUAGUGCCUGUGAUAUUUGUGUCUAGCUAGGUGUAUGCCCAAUGCGUUUGUGUUCAGUAAGGUGUCUCUUGAAUAGCAUUUUAAGUAUUGGUUGUUGGUCCUGCU
Lolium perenne is the source of this 802-nucleotide long non-coding RNA. RefSeq lists it as uncharacterized. The record is from RefSeq and is a predicted model, not a curated record. NCBI's taxonomy places the organism in Eukaryota, Viridiplantae, Streptophyta, Magnoliopsida, Poales, Poaceae.